CCGACCCUUCGAACCCCCUCGACACGGAGGAGGAGGCGAUCGAAGGGCCCCGAGGAACUGCGCUUCCACGGCCUCAACAUCCUGGACAAGGACCUGGACGUGAAGAUGAGCGACCCGACGGAGCGCGAACUCAAGAACCUGGCCGAAGCUCGCGAAGGGCCCAGAUAACGCUGGAGCAGCUGAAGGAGAAGUACAAGGAUAAGCUGGAAGAACUGGAGAGGAGGCAACAGCAGAGGAUGCGCAACAAAGAUGAAUUGUGAUGAAAUAGAAGAAACAAGAGAGAGGAAAUGUCGAUAGUCGUAGUAAACAUUUUGUUGAAACUCAUUUUUCAAGAUAAAAUUGCUGAUUAAAGUA
Molecule: non-coding RNA, 354 nt
Organism: Penaeus vannamei (Pacific white shrimp)
Lineage: Eukaryota; Metazoa; Arthropoda; Malacostraca; Decapoda; Penaeidae
Source: RefSeq, a predicted model, not a curated record